RNAcentral lists this ribosomal RNA (255 nucleotides) under uncultured bacterium. RNAcentral's name for it is "partial 16S ribosomal RNA". It matches the Rfam family "Bacterial small subunit ribosomal RNA", at positions 524 to 776 of the family's 1533-position model. The record is from RNAcentral.
GACGAACCGUGCGAACGUUAUUCGGAAUCAUUGGGCUUAAAGGGCGCGUAGGCGGCGGCGUAAGUUGGAAGUGAAAUCCCAUCGGCUCAACCGUGGAAUUGCUCCCAGUACUGCGUCGCUCGAGGGGAAUAGGGGUCUGCGGAACUACCGGUGGAGCGGUGAAAUGUGUUGAUAUCGGUGGGAACGCCAGUGGCGAAAGCGGCAGACUGGACCCUUCCUGACGCUGAGUGCGCGAAAGCUAGGGGAGCAAACGGG